Molecule: ribosomal RNA, 254 nt
Filed under: uncultured bacterium
Lineage: Bacteria
Description: partial 16S ribosomal RNA
Rfam family: Bacterial small subunit ribosomal RNA
Source: RNAcentral
CACGGGGGGAGCAAGCGUUGUUCGGAUUUACUGGGCGUAAAGGGCGCGUAGGCGGCCUCCGCAAGUCAGUUGUGAAAUCUCCGAGCUUAACUCGGAAAGGUCAACUGAUACUGCGGGGCUAGAGUGCGGAAGGGGCAACUGGAAUUCUUGGUGUAGCGGUGAAAUGCGUAGAUAUCAAGAGGAACACCUGCGGCGAAGGCGGGUUGCUGGGCCGACACUGACGCUGAGGCGCGAAAGCUAGGGGAGCGAACGGG